CGUUGAUAGGUCGGAGGUGGAAGCGCUGUGAGGCGUGUAGCUGACCGAUACUAAUUAGCCGAGGGCUUGACCUACAA
This 77-nucleotide ribosomal RNA is filed under the name Pseudoflavonifractor capillosus. Its description in RNAcentral is "partial 23S ribosomal RNA". It matches the Rfam family "Bacterial large subunit ribosomal RNA", at positions 2851 to 2925 of the family's 2925-position model. Lineage: Bacteria; Bacillati; Bacillota; Clostridia; Eubacteriales; Oscillospiraceae. The record is from RNAcentral.